Molecule: ribosomal RNA, 460 nt
Filed under: uncultured bacterium
Lineage: Bacteria
Description: partial 16S ribosomal RNA
Rfam family: Bacterial small subunit ribosomal RNA
Source: RNAcentral
CCUACGGGAGGCAGCAGUAAGGAAUAUUUGGCAAUGGACGAAAGUCUGAACCAGCCAAGUAGCGUGAAGGAUGACUGCCCUAUGGGUGUUAAACUUCGUUUAUAAGGAAGUAAAACGAGGCACGUGUGCCUUUUUGCAUGUACUUUAUGAAUAAGGAUCGGCUAACUCCGUGCCAGCAGACGCGGUAAUACGGAGGAUGCGAGCGUUAUCCGGAUUUAUUGGGUUUAAAGGGAGCGUAGGUGGGUUGUUAAGUCAGUUGUGAAAGUUCGCGGCUCAACCGUAAAAUUGCAAUUGAUACUGGCAGUCUUGAGUACAGUUGAGGUAGGCGGAAUUCGUGGUGUAGCGGUGAAAUGCUCAGAGAUCACGAAGAACACCGAUUGCGAAGGCAGCUUACUAAACUGUGACUGACAUUGAUGCUCGAAAGUGUGGGUAUCAAACAGGAUUAGAUACCCUUGUAGUC